GGGGAAUCUUGCGCAAUGGGCGAAAGCCUGACGCAGCGACGCCGCGUGAGCGAUGAAGGCCUUCGGGUUGUAAAGCUCUGUCAGAGGGGACGAUAAUGACGGUACCCUCAGAGGAAGCCCCGGCUAACUACGUGCCAGCAGCCGCGGUAAGACGUAGGGGGCGAGCGUUGUCCGGAAUUACUGGGCGUAAAGGGCGUGUAGGCGGCUUUGCAAGUCAGUGGUGAAACACCUGGGCUCAACCCAGGUAUUGCCGUUGAAACUGCAUCGCUUGAGGGUAGAAGAGGAGUGUGGAAUUCCCGGUGUAGCGGUGAAAUGCGUAGAGAUCGGGAGGAACACCAGUGGCGAAGGCGGCACUCUGGUCUACCCCUGACGCUGAGGCGCGAAAGCUAGGGGAGCAAAC
RNAcentral lists this ribosomal RNA (400 nucleotides) under uncultured bacterium. RNAcentral describes it as "bacterial SSU rRNA". It matches the Rfam family "Bacterial small subunit ribosomal RNA", at positions 356 to 773 of the family's 1533-position model. The record is from RNAcentral.